GCAGGGCAAGAAAGGUACCGGGCCAUUACCAGUGCUUAUUAUCGAGGAGCAGUUGGUGCCCUCCUUGUCUAUGACAUAACUAAGAGGCAAACGUUUGACAAUGUUCUGAGGUGGCUACGGGAAUUGAGAGACCACGCAGACUCUAAUAUUGUAAUCAUAAUGGCUGGAAACAAGUCUGACCUUAGGCAUCUUAGAGCAGUCUCUGAGCAGGAUGGUCAAGCUUUAGCUGAGAAGGAAGGGCUGUCAUUUCUUGAGACGUCAGCAUUGGAAGCUUUUAAUGUUGAUAAGGCGUUUCAUACUAUAUUGACAGAUAUAUACCAGAUCAUUAGCAAGAAG
Molecule: unclassified non-coding RNA, 336 nt
Filed under: Hevea brasiliensis (rubber tree)
Lineage: Eukaryota; Viridiplantae; Streptophyta; Magnoliopsida; Malpighiales; Euphorbiaceae
Source: RNAcentral